UGGAGUUUCAUAAGUGAGCCCAGGAUAUGGCUAAGUGUCCAAUCUAUUCUCUUUGUGUUAUUAUAACCUGUUUUGCUUAACUCUCUUGUUUAUUUCAUAAUUAUAACGUCUUAGUAUUCAUUGAUCAUACAGACAACAAAGCAAACUGUGCAUAGUUUGGGUUUGCAUAGUCAGGUGCAUUCCACAGGCCAACAACUGAAGUCAUGGUAUUGGGCCAGACUGUAACUGGGGAAGUCUGCAAUCCAAGGAGAGAGAACUAAAAGCUACAAAUUCAGUGCCCUCUCUGCCCUUGAGGGUAAUCUCCUCUUUCUUCAUGGGAGUAGCUGACUGCAGAUGUUGCCAAGCACUUGCUCUGUGCAGUAGAAGAUGGCAUUUCUCAUGCCCUGACUGGCUUCCCCAUUCCAUCCUGCCUGAACAAACCACACCAGAUUUCCUUUGCCUCAUCGUGUUCCACAGAAAGCAGAAAGCCAUUUGGUUUAGUGAACCUGGUUGCAAAAUCCACAGAUGGGUCUUCAUCAACAGCUAAACAUCAUUGCAGAACCAUGAAGAAAAUCUGUUCCUGUCGAAGCACUCACCCUUCCCUGCCAGCCUGUUUCUGAUGGGAUAACAGGACACAGCUGCUCAGGAUCCAGCCUUCCAGGUGGUAACGGAAGGGUUAAACUGGGCCCCAAGCACUUGUUCUUCCAGUGCACCCUGCACUCCUCACCCUCCGGGAUUUAUGGUCAUCUCGUCGCAUGUUAAAAAGAUUAUAGGGAAAAUAUGUAAAUGAAAAGUUACUAAGUGGAGCAGAGUGGUGUAAAAGCAGACCUAUUAGCAACAGGAUCCAAGGCUCCGCAUAUGCUACGUUUCUGUUGCUGGAAUUAUCAUCAAAGAGCUUUCCAAGGCUUCCUGGCCCAGAUGGAUUUUACAUCCUUAUGCACUAGCCCUGAGCCAAAGCCAAAUUUGCAGGUGAAGCCGAUGCUGCAGCUCAUGUGGAGGUGCCUGGCUAUGUGCGUCUGUCCCUCACCCAGCUGGGGGUCUGGCUCCCACAAGUGGAGGUUUCCUCAGAAAGGUGACUGUGGGGAGAACUUUGCUUCAGACUUCCACUACUGAUUUAGAAAAAAAAAAAAAAAAA
Phasianus colchicus (ring-necked pheasant) is the source of this 1114-nucleotide long non-coding RNA. RefSeq lists it as uncharacterized. The record is from RefSeq and is a predicted model, not a curated record. NCBI's taxonomy places the organism in Eukaryota, Metazoa, Chordata, Aves, Galliformes, Phasianidae.